UGGUAGUCCGCCUGCCUUCAUUUAUCCACAGACUGAACACCACAGCUGAAGCAGACUCCAUUCGUCUGAAUGACACAAAAUACAUAUAUUUGAAAACUACAGAGGAACGGAUACUUCAUUCCCUUCUAGCCUUUGUUUCUUCAGAAGACAAAAGAGAAAUGUGACUUUCAUAUUUCUGAAGUGAUUGCAGCUCGACAGAGAAAAACAUUUGUGCUCUCCUCAUGGCCCAUUCAGCAAAGACACCACCCACUAUAGUACUGCAUCCUAAAAAUACCAAGGAACCCAAGAUAAAUUCAAGAUAACCCAAGAUAACAUAACUUUCCAUCCAUGAGUCAAGUGAUCACAGCUUCUGCACUGAGUGUAUUUGACAAGCUGAAUUCAGACACUCAAUUUAAAACAGUGUCAGUUUGUCAAAUACCCCAAGUGCAGAGCUGAAACGCAGCUGAACAUUGUCCAGUGCUGGGCGAGGCUGACAAGCAUACAACUGACGAGACUCCAAUAUCUGCAUAUGUAUGUGUACACGUGCUUACAAGACCCAGAGUGAAUUAAGUGCACUUUGUGAACUGAAUAGCUGUUGGAAUGGUUAUUAUUAAGAUGUUACAGAGCCUUUCUGUACCCAACACAAAAUGUUUAUUUCAAAAUGGAUGUUACAUUCUUGUUAUAUUAAACUAAUGGGCAGCUUGUAAGGUA
Long non-coding RNA from Hemiscyllium ocellatum (epaulette shark), 690 nucleotides. RefSeq lists it as uncharacterized. NCBI's taxonomy places the organism in Eukaryota, Metazoa, Chordata, Chondrichthyes, Orectolobiformes, Hemiscylliidae. The record is from RefSeq and is a predicted model, not a curated record. The transcript is spliced from 3 exons.